Molecule: ribosomal RNA, 344 nt
Filed under: uncultured soil bacterium
Lineage: Bacteria
Description: bacterial SSU rRNA
Rfam family: Bacterial small subunit ribosomal RNA
Source: RNAcentral
AGAUUGAACGCUGGCGGCAUGCCUAACACAUGCAAGUCGAACGGGAGUAGCAAUACUCUAGUGGCGGACGGGUGAGGAAUACGUAGGAAUUUGCCCUUAAGUGGGGGAUAACCCGGGGAAACCCGGAUUAAUACCGCAUGACCUCGAAAGAGCAAAGUGGGGGAUCGCAAGACCUCACGCUUUUGGAGAAGCCUACGUCGGAUUAGCUAGUUGGUGAGGUAAUGGCUCACCAAGGCGACGAUCCGUAACUGGUCUGAGAGGAUGAUCAGUCACACCGGAACUGAGACACGGUCCGACUCCUACGGGAGGCAGCAGUGGGGAAUAGUUGGACAAGUGGGCGAAAG